AAAAAAAAAAAGGGCCGAGCGCGCGGAGCAUGCGGAGGUUAUUUACAUAAAGAGGAGGGACUUAAGGGCACUAGGACCCCGAUUGGCUAAGGAGGCGGGCCCCCAGCGUCGGCCGUUGAGACGUGUUGAGGGGGCGGGAAUGCGGUGCAGGUCGGCUGGGCGGUUGGGACGCAGAAUUUACACGACGAAUGUGGGAGAAAGAGGCGGAGCGUGCGUCGGACGUUGGUAGAAAGAUGGGAGCGGAGAGACGUAGGGACGCCAAAAGUGGAAGGCAACGACACACGGCCCGUGGCGCCUUCAGCUAGGGAGAAAGAGAGGACGGGGGCUGGCGGGCGGGAUUAGCUGCCGGAGGGCUGAGUUUCCGCAGGCCUGGAUGGCAGAUCUCUUGCCCAGCAUCAUCCUGAGAAAGUCAGGGUAGCUGAACGUCUCCCCGGAGCCACUGGACACCUCUCCAAUUAAUUUCUUUAGCUCUAGGUGAGUCUUGGGGACCCCAAGUUUCUCCAGC
Molecule: long non-coding RNA, 505 nt
Filed under: Pan troglodytes (chimpanzee)
Lineage: Eukaryota; Metazoa; Chordata; Mammalia; Primates; Hominidae
Description: long non-coding RNA NONPTRT015092
Source: RNAcentral